UACGUAGGGCGCAAGCGUUGUCCGGAAUCAUUGGGCGUAAAGAGCUCGUAGGCGGCCUGUUGCGUCCGCUGUGAAAUCCCGGGGCUUAACCCCGGGCGUGCAGUGGAUACGGGCUGGCUGGAGGCAGGCAGGGGAGAACGGAAUUCCCGGUGUAGCGGUGAAAUGCGCAGAUAUCGGGAGGAACACCGGUGGCGAAGGCGGUUCUCUGGGCCGAUAUUGACGCUGAGGAGCGAAAGCGUGGGGAGCGAACAGG
This 253-nucleotide ribosomal RNA is filed under the name uncultured bacterium. RNAcentral's name for it is "partial 16S ribosomal RNA". It matches the Rfam family "Bacterial small subunit ribosomal RNA", at positions 524 to 776 of the family's 1533-position model. The record is from RNAcentral.